CCGCACGGGUGAGUAACGCGUAUGCAACUUGCCUAUCAGAGGGGGAUAACCCGGCGAAAGUCGGACUAAUACCGCAUGAAGCAGGGAUCCCGCAUGGGAAUAUUUGCUAAAGAUUCAUCGCUAAUAGAUAGGCAUGCGUUCCAUUAGGCAGUUGGCGGGGUAACGGCCCACCAAACCGACGAUGGAUAGGGGUUCUGAGAGGAAGGUCCCCCACAUUGGUACUGAGACACGGACCAA
Molecule: ribosomal RNA, 237 nt
Filed under: uncultured bacterium
Lineage: Bacteria
Description: partial 16S ribosomal RNA
Rfam family: Bacterial small subunit ribosomal RNA
Source: RNAcentral